RNAcentral lists this ribosomal RNA (471 nucleotides) under Streptococcus mitis. RNAcentral's name for it is "bacterial SSU rRNA". It matches the Rfam family "Bacterial small subunit ribosomal RNA", at positions 28 to 485 of the family's 1533-position model. Lineage: Bacteria; Bacillati; Bacillota; Bacilli; Lactobacillales; Streptococcaceae. The record is from RNAcentral.
GACGAACGCUGGCGGCGUGCCUAAUACAUGCAAGUAGAACGCUGAAGGAGGAGCUUGCUUCUCUGGAUGAGUUGCGAACGGGUGAGUAACGCGUAGGUAACCUGCCUGGUAGCGGGGGAUAACUAUUGGAAACGAUAGCUAAUACCGCAUAACAGUAGAUGUUGCAUGACAUUUGCUUAAAAGGUGCAAUUGCAUCACUACCAGAUGGACCUGCGUUGUAUUAGCUAGUUGGUGGGGUAACGGCUCACCAAGGCGACGAUACAUAGCCGACCUGAGAGGGUGAUCGGCCACACUGGGACUGAGACACGGCCCAGACUCCUACGGGAGGCAGCAGUAGGGAAUCUUCGGCAAUGGACGGAAGUCUGACCGAGCAACGCCGCGUGAGUGAAGAAGGUUUUCGGAUCGUAAAGCUCUGUUGUAAGAGAAGAACGAGUGUGAGAGUGGAAAGUUCACACUGUGACGUAUCUACCA